This is a long non-coding RNA of Liolophura sinensis, 268 nucleotides long. RefSeq lists it as uncharacterized. The transcript is spliced from 3 exons. Lineage: Eukaryota; Metazoa; Mollusca; Polyplacophora; Chitonida; Chitonidae. The record is from RefSeq and is a predicted model, not a curated record.
ACCAACUCUGACAUGCGAUCGAGGGGGGUACCAGGGGGUGGAUUUUGCCAGAACCCUCAAAUAAACUCACCUAAUGGGCGGGGAAGGAACAUGUUGCAGGUUGCACCUCGCAACUGUGCAUUGUUUUUCGGAAAGGCUCCACAAGACAGCUUUAUGUGCAUUAACUCGAUCAACUACGUCAGAGAUUGCAAUUAAAUGCAUACCCCAAUGUUGCCAACACGACACCAGAUCACUUUGUUCACAGCAGAGGUCUUAUUAUCAGAGCCAG